RNAcentral lists this long non-coding RNA (2635 nucleotides) under Gallus gallus (chicken). The record is from RNAcentral. Lineage: Eukaryota; Metazoa; Chordata; Aves; Galliformes; Phasianidae.
UUUCUUUCUUUCUUUUUUGUCGAGUGAUAGACAGAGAGACAACAUGAUCUGUGAAUUCCUAGGGGCUUAUGGCAGCAAAUAUUGUAGUGAAAACUACCAGAGAAACAAAAUGUAUGGACAGAAGUAGCCUCUUUUAUUAGGAUGACUGGUACAAUUGGAAAAAACAGUUAAGGAUUUGGGUCAAAACCACUUUCAUAGGCCCAAGAUAGGUCUAUAUAUUGAGGACAGUUUGUGUGCAUGGCAGCUUGUUAUUUGUGCUUUUUAUUAUGUGUUGUUUUGUUGUUGGUUUUUCUCUCCACUAGAACAGUGAGAGCAUGAGAGGUAUUGUGCUUUAUUUGUAAAUAGUUGCUUGACGUUUCUUAAAUCAUCAAAAUAAGAUGAUGUCCAUCUAUCACCAGUUUAAUGAGUAUCUAUCACCACUCUGAUCAAACUUGGACAAUAAUUUACCAUCUCCUGUUGUCCAAAGGAAAAGUAUCUCUAUUAACACAGUUAGAUUAUACCUCCAUGCAUUUUAGGAAUAUUUUUCUGGAUCUGUUACUUUGUGCCUCAGUUGUAUUCACUUUCUGUGAGCAAAGAAAUCUUCACAAAAAUAAAUAUAUUUUAAGAUGGAAAUGGUUUUAUUGCAUGAUGGUCACAGAAAUUUUGUCUUAUAAAAGAGUCUAACUUGGUUACAGCAUGAAAGAUUCCUAUUUUUUCUCCCUGUUUUCCUAUACCAGACCUGAGAAGAAGGCAGUUGUACUGUGUGUACAGAAAUAUCACCUCUGAGACUUUAGGACAUGUUCCUAUUAUCUAGUGUGGGUAAACAUUAGGUGUUGUACUCCAAAAGGCAUGGACAGCUAGAUGGAGACCAAGGGAGAUCUCUGACUCUGAUCAAAGUUGAACAUUAUAUCUUACAAGCAAUGUAUGAAGGAAUUUUAAUUGUUUAGUCUACAGCAGAAUAAAAAGGAUUUUCAAUAGCAGUCAUCACAUGCGUGAGGGUGGCAGCAAGAAGAAAGACAAGAAAUUCCUCUGUCCUUUGUGCAUAAAAGGAAAAGUAAUUUAAACAGGGAAGUAUCUCCUUAGGUAGCAGAAUUUUAAGAAUAUUGUCACUCUUGCAAUAACGAAUCAUUGAGACAGAGUUUCUGGGGAAAUUGUGCUGCCCAAUCACCAAUGGCCCAAGAACGUGUUAGGAAAACAAAUGCAAGGAACGGUGUAUAUGUAGUUAUAUGCCAUACUGUGGCUGAGAUGAAUCAAUUAGAAAAGUUCUUAGUGUCCCUUACACAGCUCUUUUCUCUGAGCAUAUGAUUGAUGAGUGCAUGGUGAAUGGCAAAAAGCACACAGAAAAGAUGUCUUCCAAAACCCUCUGGCUCUCCUUACCUGAAUGCUUGGCAAUCAACAAAGGAUUUUUUCCUUUAAAAUGUUUCAGUGUCUUUUAUCUGAGUCCUGACUGUUAUGGUAUAUUGGUUGUACUGGCACAACUCAACCACCCUCACAAGGAUGAGUAACUUGAUUUCAAAAGUGUAUUGUUAGAUUAUAAUAUUAUUGCUGAAUAGAAUGAGAUCACUGAUUCAAUGAAAAUAAAGCUCCGGGUGAAAUGAGUUUGCACAACAUCCUAGUGGACAUUUCUGAGCCUAGAUAGGCCCCCUCAGCAACACAGUCAUUUGCUCAAACGUCUGUUCCUGCUUGCGACAGAUCUGAAAAAUCACAUUUCGUGAAGAGACUAAACCUGCUUGGACAGUGACAAAUAAUUUGAAAAUAACUGGUCUGACCGGGUGUUCGAAUUGUUGACAGAAGGGAAAUGGUAAUGUGUGCAAUAAGAGCAGAAGAUGAAAGCCUUUCCCUGGCACUCUUCUUGCAGUAAAGCCCUUUCUCUGACCUGUGGCCUCACCAAAUGACCUGUGGGCAGAGAAAAGGGAGUGGAAAGAAACAGCUUCUCCUAGACAUUCUUUUCUGAAGAAAACUCUGCUACAGAUGCUGCAUUUGUACAUUGCUACAUUGCUCCUACAUUGCUUGCUAUCUAUCUGCAAAGAGUUAGUGAAGUGGUCUGGAAAUCCAGAUACUUUUUGUUGUUUUUAUCUCUUUUUUUUUUUUUUUUUUUAACAAUAAUUGUCUUCAUUGUAGCCUACUUAGUCCAAACAAGGCUUACAUAUUUCACAUGUUCUGACGUUAAGUAAGUCUUUCCAAAAUAAAACAGAAGAUUGACAGAAUGUCAUUAACAUCAGGCCAAUAAUCGUGUACAGUCUGUAAAGUAAUGUUAAUAUUUGUGCUGAACUGUGCCAGAUCUUAGCCUCUUCUCGUAAGUCAGAUGCUCCACCCCUUUAGCCAUCUUUAUAACUAUUCUCUGGACUCCCUCCAGUAAGUACUAUCUUUUUUUGUACCAGUAAAUCCAGAACUGAACACAGCGCUCCAAAUGUUUCACACUUAUGGAUAAGCAGAAGGGAAAGAUCACCUUUCUCGACUGCCGAUAAUGACCCCACUCAUGCAGUUUGCUGUGCUUGUGGCCUUUGACAUGAAGGCUUAUUUUCUGCAUACUGUUCAGGCAUCAGCUUCUAGUGUACACCACUAGUAACUGGCUUCCAGCUGGACUUUGUGCCACAGUUCACCUACUCUUUAAACUAGGCAGUUCUGACAGUUUUCAGUGUAGCUCACUGCCCAC